RNAcentral lists this transfer RNA (100 nucleotides) under Rhodothermaceae bacterium. RNAcentral's name for it is "tRNA-Gly". The stretch from base 6 to 92 matches the Rfam family "tRNA", at positions 8 to 63 of the family's 71-position model. From Rfam's summary of the family: Transfer RNA (tRNA) molecules are approximately 80 nucleotides in length. Their secondary structure includes four short double-helical elements and three loops (D, anti-codon, and T loops). Further hydrogen bonds mediate the characteristic L-shaped molecular structure. tRNAs have two regions of fundamental functional importance: the anti-codon, which is responsible for specific mRNA codon recognition, and the 3' end, to which the tRNAs corresponding amino acid is attached (by aminoacyl-tRNA synthetases). tRNAs cope with the degeneracy of the genetic code in two manners: having more than one tRNA (with a specific anti-codon) for a particular amino acid; and 'wobble' base-pairing, i.e. permitting non-standard base-pairing at the 3rd anti-codon position. Lineage: Bacteria; Pseudomonadati; Rhodothermota; Rhodothermia; Rhodothermales; Rhodothermaceae. The record is from RNAcentral.
GGGAAUAGCUCAAUCGGUAGAGCGUCAGCUUCCCAAGCUGAAGGUCGCGAGCGCCUGCCUUACAAGCAGGAGGCCGGGGGUUCAAAUCCCUCACCGCCCA